RNAcentral lists this ribosomal RNA (911 nucleotides) under Bacillus zhangzhouensis. RNAcentral's name for it is "bacterial SSU rRNA". It matches the Rfam family "Bacterial small subunit ribosomal RNA", at positions 48 to 941 of the family's 1533-position model. Lineage: Bacteria; Bacillati; Bacillota; Bacilli; Caryophanales; Bacillaceae. The record is from RNAcentral.
CCUAUACAUGCAGUCGAGCGGACAGAAGGGAGCUUGCUCCCGGAUGUUAGCGGCGGACGGGUGAGUAACACGUGGGUAACCUGCCUGUAAGACUGGGAUAACUCCGGGAAACCGGAGCUAAUACCGGAUAGUUCCUUGAACCGCAUGGUUCAAGGAUGAAAGACGGUUUCGGCUGUCACUUACAGAUGGACCCGCGGCGCAUUAGCUAGUUGGUGGGGUAAUGGCUCACCAAGGCGACGAUGCGUAGCCGACCUGAGAGGGUGAUCGGCCACACUGGGACUGAGACACGGCCCAGACUCCUACGGGAGGCAGCAGUAGGGAAUCUUCCGCAAUGGACGAAAGUCUGACGGAGCAACGCCGCGUGAGUGAUGAAGGUUUUCGGAUCGUAAAGCUCUGUUGUUAGGGAAGAACAAGUGCGAGAGUAACUGCUCGCACCUUGACGGUACCUAACCAGAAAGCCACGGCUAACUACGUGCCAGCAGCCGCGGUAAUACGUAGGUGGCAAGCGUUGUCCGGAAUUAUUGGGCGUAAAGGGCUCGCAGGCGGUUUCUUAAGUCUGAUGUGAAAGCCCCCGGCUCAACCGGGGAGGGUCAUUGGAAACUGGGAAACUUGAGUGCAGAAGAGGAGAGUGGAAUUCCACGUGUAGCGGUGAAAUGCGUAGAGAUGUGGAGGAACACCAGUGGCGAAGGCGACUCUCUGGUCUGUAACUGACGCUGAGGAGCGAAAGCGUGGGGAGCGAACAGGAUUAGAUACCCUGGUAGUCCACGCCGUAAACGAUGAGUGCUAAGUGUUAGGGGGUUUCCGCCCCUUAGUGCUGCAGCUAACGCAUUAAGCACUCCGCCUGGGGAGUACGGUCGCAAGACUGAAACUCAAAGGAAUNGACGNGGGCCCGCACAAGCGGUUGAAGCAUG